Microplitis mediator is the source of this 2483-nucleotide long non-coding RNA. RefSeq lists it as uncharacterized. The transcript is spliced from 3 exons. Lineage: Eukaryota; Metazoa; Arthropoda; Insecta; Hymenoptera; Braconidae. The record is from RefSeq and is a predicted model, not a curated record.
UGGGUUACAAAUUAAAUCGUUGAUUUAAUUGAUUAAUAUUGUUAAUUGUCUGAGCUCAUGAAUACGGAAUUAAAUGAAUGCAAAUUGUAAAAUUGAGCGCCAGUAAUUGUUUUUAAAUAAUUGAAGUAAUUAAUUUGAGUUUAGUUGAACACUGAUUUGAUUGUAAAAAUGUCAGGAUGAAAAGUAACAUGAAAUCAGAGGUUACCGAGCGAAGUUAAUUAUUAAAUACGUUAAUUACUAAAUAACGCUAGAUACAUAAUAUUUUAGUUAUUGAGUUUUAAUAAUAAUGAUCACUGAAGUAAAUGAACUUAAUGAGCUCUUAUUGAAUUGCACUGAAUUUAAUUUAUGUUGAACACGUGGUAGCAUGAUUGCAGAGGCUACUGAGCGAAAUAUAACUUUUUAUUUAAUUGAAAAUAUUGAGCAUGAUGAUAAAUAAUUAAUUGUAAUAUUGAGUCCUUUAAUUAUUUGAGCACUGGUAACAAGUAAAUAUUUAUUAAAAAAUGCACCUGUUGCGUUCUCGAUGAAUAACCUCGUGGUCGAUGAUCGCUGAUUUAGUUGAGUUCUUUGUUAAUUUAUAACUGAGUGUUUAUGUUAGCAAUUAUAAAAAUAAUUAUAUUUUUAUAAAGCUUACUGAUCACUGAUUGCUUUUAAUGCAUUAGUACUUGACAUGCGCUGCACUGCGCUAGUCAAGUUUUUAAUUGACAGACACUAGGCCCCAGUAGGUGCUGCCUUUAUUUGCCGGAAGUGCAACUACAUUUAAAUUUGAAUGUAGUUGUGAUUACGCAACACGAUUUAAAUUUAAAAGAAAAUGGCAAACACAUUUUGAGAUGUCUAAUAUUGCAGAAGACUCAUCAUCGACUUGUGAUCCUUUAUAUGUUGAUUCUAAUCAGUUGAAUAAUGAAAGAGCUAUUGAUGUUGUCAAUGAUGUUGUCAAUGAGAAUAAUCCUGCAGAGCUUGAGCGACGGUAAUUUACCGUAAUUCGGAUCCACUAAGGUAUGCUUGAUAUUAUUCAAAAUAAUCACCGUGCUGCUGCAUGCUACAGAAGUUAUCAAGAGACUAAUGUACUUAGCACUAAAGCUCGAAAUCUUUUAGUGGAUAUCAUUAUCUCGGCUGCUGUAUCACUAAAAUCUAAGUUAAAGCCAACCGAUUUUUCAAUUUUGAUUGAAAAUUUUUCCAACAGAAGAUUCCCAAAUCUACUAUAACGCUUCUGAAAGCGUUAUUAUUGGUGGAAAAGAAAUUAACAAACCAGCUAAAGGAAAAUUUUAUAAUAAAUACCGAAAUUAUAUUUCGGAUUUAAAACAAAUCAAUGAUACUGAAAGUGGACAGUCUGAAUCAUCAGAUUUUGAAGAUAUUGAAUUACAGUUAGGUGAAAAAGAAUUAUAGAGUAUUGAGCGACUAAAAUCUCGUCGGGAACUCAAAAAUAAAAUGGUUUUUCACUGGAUUCAAUCGCGAUCGGUUCGAGACAAAGAACGUCAAGACUCAAAGUUUUUGACUGUGAAUUCAACUUUUAAAAAGUGGCCUGUACUUCGAGAUUCAAUUCUUGCGCCAGAAUUAAUUGAUAAUGAUUUCAAAUCAAUGUGCCUUACUGAUGUUGAGUUGGAUCAAAAUUCAUUUCAAUCAUUUUUUAAAGAAAUUUGUGCUCUCUAAUUAAAAUCGACGAAAUCAAAAGAAUAUCGGGCUUUUAAAAAGGUGUUGGAGCUUUCUUCCACCGAUGAUGGUAUUUUAAUAUAUACUAUUUAUUUCAUUUAAACCCGGAAAAAAAUCAUCAGGCCUGAUCAUGCUUGAUCAUGCAUGAAUCAUGCGUGAUCGUGCAUGAUUCAUACAUGAUUCAAGUAUGAUAGUGUAUGAUCCUGGCAUGACUUUGCACGAUCAUGCAAAGACAUGUUCAAUCAUGCAUGACCAUGCAUGACAAGGCAAGAACAGUCAUGCAUGAACCUUGCAAUAUUAUGCAUGGCUAAGCUUAAUCAUGAACGAUCAUGUCUGAAUUUGCAUGAUUCAUGCAAAGGCAUGCAUGCCCAUGCAAAUCCAUGUUCAAUUGUGCAUGAUCAUGCAUGACGAGGAAAGAAUAAUUACACAUUAUUCAUGCAACCUCAUGUAUGACCAAGCUCAGUCACUGCUCAUACUAUCGCCUUGAAGCUUCAACUUCAUCAAUGUUCACGAUUUAUUCGUGAUGAAGGUUUUAUCCAUCGUUUAACCAUUGGGCCUAAAAAUUUAAUCAAUUGAAGCGAUCUUGAUGAUUUUGUGAAUCUUGAUACUGUUUUUCAAGACAAUAAAAAAGAUUUGUUAAUUUAUAUUUCAUGGGUUAAUAUUAACGGAACUGAAUAUGAAAUUGAUUCAGUAAUAAAAAUGAAGUCAAAUAAAAUGUUACCUGAUUUUUAUCGCAUUAAACACAUACCCGAUGAAAAAAGAUUUUAUACAAUUAUAUACCCUCGCAAAUUUGAAUCACGGUGGAAACACCGUAGAAGUGUAAACACCGUGGAUCC